GACGAACGCUGGCGGCGUGCUUAACACAUGCAAGUCGAACGGAAAGGCCCUGCUUUUGUGGGGUGCUCGAGUGGCGAACGGGUGAGUAACACGUGAGUAACCUGCCCUUGACUUUGGGAUAACUUCAGGAAACUGGGGCUAAUACCGGAUAGGAGCUCCUGCUGCAUGGUGGGGGUUGGAAAGUUUCGGCGAUUGGGGAUGCACUCGCGGCUUAUCAGCUUGUUGGUGGGGUAGUGGCUUACCAAGGCUUUGACGGGUAGCCGGCCUGAGAGGGUGACCGGCCACAUUGGGACUGAGAUACGGCCCAGACUCCUACGGGAGGCAGCAGUGGGGAAUAUUGCACAAUGGGCGGAAGCCUGAUGCAGCAACGCCGCGUGCGGGAUGACGGCCUUCGGGUUGUAAACCGCUUUCGCCUGUGACGAAGCGUGAGUGACGGUAAUGGGUAAAGAAGCACCGGCUAACUACGUG
RNAcentral lists this ribosomal RNA (468 nucleotides) under uncultured bacterium. RNAcentral's name for it is "partial 16S ribosomal RNA". It matches the Rfam family "Bacterial small subunit ribosomal RNA", at positions 28 to 507 of the family's 1533-position model. The record is from RNAcentral.